UGAGGAAUAUUGCGCAAUGGGCGAAAGCCUGACGCAGCGACGCCGCGUGAAGGAUGAAGGUCUUCGGAUUGUAAACUUCUGUUAAGUGAGAAGAAAGACCCAAUUCUAAUAAAGUUGGGGGAUGACGUUAUCACUAGAGAAAGCACCGGCUAACUUCGUGCCAGCAGCCGCGGUAAUACGAGGGGUGCGAGCGUUAUUCGGAAUUACUGGGCGUAAAGGGUGCGUAGACGGUUUAUCAAGUCUCCUGUUCAAGACCUCGGCUUAACUGGGGAACAGCGGGGGAAACUGAUAUGACUAGAGGAUGAGAGAGAGAAGUGGAAUUCUCGGAGUAGCGGUAAAAUGCGUAGAUCUCGAGAGGAACACCGAUGGCGAAAGCAGCUUCUUGGCUCAUACCUGACGU
RNAcentral lists this ribosomal RNA (400 nucleotides) under uncultured bacterium. RNAcentral's name for it is "bacterial SSU rRNA". It matches the Rfam family "Bacterial small subunit ribosomal RNA", at positions 355 to 746 of the family's 1533-position model. The record is from RNAcentral.